RNAcentral lists this long non-coding RNA (351 nucleotides) under Anser brachyrhynchus (Pink-footed goose). RNAcentral's name for it is "lncRNA (ENSABRG00000008387.1)". The record is from RNAcentral. Lineage: Eukaryota; Metazoa; Chordata; Aves; Anseriformes; Anatidae.
AAGAUGUUUCUCCUCUCUUACAGCGCGAGCACAAACACAGCACAAGAAAUCCAGUGAAUGUGCCAGGGUUGGAUGCAGCCAGGGAAGCAAAGACCAUACUAGUUGUUGAUGUCUUCUGCAGAGCUGUCGCUCCUGGAACCAGUGUGUAGGUUGCUGUCCCAGACAUAGCCAAGCUUCGUCUUUUGUCUGUUUUUCUUCCAUUCUUUCGUCCCUUCCUCUUGCCCUCUCAGAAGCAUCCUGAAGUGAGAUCCAGUGGACACGGAUGUAGAACAGGGGAAGAAAGCUCGCAAUGGCAAGGUGUUGAAGCAAGUGCUGUGUAGGCAGCAGAAGUCCUGAAAUGAUCAAGUAACU